This 709-nucleotide long non-coding RNA is filed under the name Hordeum vulgare. RNAcentral's name for it is "long non-coding RNA (HVUL_LNC012847)". Lineage: Eukaryota; Viridiplantae; Streptophyta; Magnoliopsida; Poales; Poaceae. The record is from RNAcentral.
CAGAGCAGAGGAAGCAGCUAGUUCCAGCUUCAGGUUCAGCUUCUCCAUCGCAAUGGCUGGCACUGGCAGUACCUGGAUCCUGGUGUGUUUCCUCGCCUCUCCAACUUAAUUUCCUUGUUUCCUACUCCGUCUUCGUUUUCCUCCUCCCUCUUUGCACAUUUUUUGCUUCUUCACCUGCUGUAUCGAUGCGAUCUAUGCAAUUCAUAUUAGAAGAACUGGUUUCCCCUUUGCUCAACUCCAUUCGCUUGAUUGACCACGCAGCUGGAGCAGAAGGGGGCUGGGCCGGGAGCAAGAAGCUCCCACGCCAUCACGCUCGUCGGCGGCACGGCCUACUCCUUCGGCGGCGAGUUCACCCCGCGCCUGCCCGUGGACAACACCAUGUACGCCUUCGACCUCAAGGCGCAGUCCUGGUCCGCCCUCGACGCGGCCGGCGAGGUGCCCCCGCCGCGCGUCGGCGUCACCAUGGCCUCCGUCGGCGGCACGGUGUUCGUGUUCGGCGGCCGCGACAAGGACCACACGGAGCUCAACGAGCUCUACUCCUUCGACACGGCCACCAGCACCUGGACCCUGCUGUCCUCCGGCGACGACGGCCCGCCGCACCGGAGCUACCACUCCAUGGUGGCCGACGGCGAGGGGAGCCGCGUGUACGUCUUUGGCGGGUGCGGCAACGCCGGCAGGCUGAACGACCUGUGGGCCUACGACGUCGCCG